This 755-nucleotide long non-coding RNA is filed under the name Nicotiana benthamiana. RNAcentral's name for it is "long non-coding RNA (NBEN_LNC019947)". Lineage: Eukaryota; Viridiplantae; Streptophyta; Magnoliopsida; Solanales; Solanaceae. The record is from RNAcentral.
ACCAAAAUUUGCACAAUAAGAAUACAUAUUUCUAUUCCACAUUUUAAAGGCUCGAUAUGAUGUCAGAAUAGGUAUAGAGGAAACAAGAAAUACAUAACAUAAAGAAUGUGAGGUGUGUUGAAACACACUCUUAAACGAAUGAAUGACUGGCAUUGUAAUUGAGAGAAACACUCGUCUCAAAUUAUAAUAGACUUUUUACCAAUUUUUGAAGCAACAUUCUUAUUUAAAGAAUAUAAUAGUUAAUAGUGGAGCAGAAAAGGAGUGCCAUUCUAGAGACGGAAAUAGCUAAGUAAACCAAGAAUGUUUUGCAGCGGCCUGUUGCUGAGUUCAACCAUUAUACUUUGAAACAUCCUUUCUAGUGCAAAAUGCUGGAGCAGGAAAAAGCUUGCUGUCACUUGGUGAAUAAAUAAAAAAUAUAUUUCUCGAGCUACUGAAGCACUCUAGUUUUAAGUGAUUUAUACUCUGUUCAAAGUAGUACAUGUAUAUUCUUCUAUUUCUGGCAAAUUACCCGUUCAAUAUAUGCAUAUGCGGUCACUUCUUCCAUUGAGGCAACCUCUGCACCACUACCUGUACAUAUCAUCGAACUACCAUUGUAUGAGCGAGCGCUAAAAUUGCAGACAGACAGUUGUUCAUUUUUAGUUGUUUACCCACAUGUUUAGGACCUUGAGAUGAUAAUAACGUCUGACUUGAAUUUGUUGGGAAUAAAACCCCUACCAAAAUAAUAUUCACGGUAAUAAAAGCGGAAUAAUAAUGUA